Molecule: long non-coding RNA, 321 nt
Filed under: Pan troglodytes (chimpanzee)
Lineage: Eukaryota; Metazoa; Chordata; Mammalia; Primates; Hominidae
Description: long non-coding RNA NONPTRT006822
Source: RNAcentral
CUGGGAGAGUGGCACCCCUGGAGAGGGUGUGGAAGCUCCGUUGCCUCCACCAUCUUUUCCGCCUGCUGUUCCUGAGUUUUACAUAGUGUCCUCAGCUGAAGAAAGAGGAAGUCUGGAGUCCAUUUCCGGCAGUUAGCAGGGAGCUGUUUUCCUCUCUCUGACAUUAGCAAGAUCAUCAAGGACGCUUGUAACAGAGACGUUUUCAACACCAUGGCAUGUUCCUGAAGAAUCAAAGUUGGCCAGAGAGACUAAACAAGGAUAACGCAGACCCUUUUGUGAAGCUGUUUUUCUAUUUUUAAAAUGCAGUUCAAAAGAUAUUGG